RNAcentral lists this ribosomal RNA (1388 nucleotides) under uncultured organism. Its description in RNAcentral is "bacterial SSU rRNA". It matches the Rfam family "Bacterial small subunit ribosomal RNA". The record is from RNAcentral.
GAUGAACGCUAGCGGCAGGCUUAAUACAUGCAAGUCGAACGGUAAGGUCCCUUCGGGGAUACACGAGUGGCGCACGGGUGCGUAACGCGUAUGCAAUCUGCCAUCAGCUGGAGAAUAGCCCGGGGAAACCCGGAUUAAUACCCCAUAAUAUCACACUUUCGCAUGUUUGUGUGAUUAAAGUUUCGGCGGCUGAUGAUGAGCAUGCGUGACAUUAGCUAGUUGGUGAGGUAACGGCUCACCAAGGCAACGAUGUCUAGGGGUCCUGAGAGGGUUAACCCCCACACUGGUACUGAGACACGGACCAGACUCCUACGGGAGGCAGCAGUAAGGAAUAUUGGUCAAUGGGCGAAAGCCUGAACCAGCCAUGCCGCGUGCAGGAUGACUGCCCUACGGGUUGUAAACUGCUUUUCUACGGGAAAAAACUUUCGGUCGUGCACCGGAAUUGAUGGUACCGUAGGAAUAAGCAUCGGCUAACUCCGUGCCAGCAGCCGCGGUAAUACGGAGGAUGCAAGCGUUAUCCGGAUUCAUUGGGUUUAAAGGGUGCGUAGGCGGAUAUGCCAGUCAGUGGUGAAAUCUCCCGGCUUAACCGGGAAACUGCCAUUGAUACUGUAUAUCUUGAGUAUAGUUGUAGUGGGCGGAAUACGGUAUGUAGCGGUGAAAUGCAUAGAUAUGCCGUAGAACACCGAUCGCGAAGGCAGCUCACUAAACUAUCACUGACGCUGAGGCACGAAAGCGUGGGUAGCAAACAGGAUUAGAUACCCUGGUAGUCCACGCUGUAAACGAUGAUCACUCGCUGUUGGCGAUACACUGUCAGCGGCUGAGCGAAAGCAUUAAGUGAUCCACCUGGGGAUUACGUCGGCAACGAUGAAACUCAAAGGAAUUGACGGGGGCCCGCACAAGCGGUGGAGCAUGUGGUUUAAUUCGAUGAUACGCGAGGAACCUUACCUGGGCUUAAAUGCAGGACGACAUCCCGUGAAAACGGGACUUCUUCGGACGGCCUGCAAGGUGCUGCAUGGUUGUCGUCAGCUCGUGCCGUGAGGUGUCGGGUUAAGUCCCAUAACGAGCGCAACCCCUAUUCUUAGUUACCAUCAGGUUAUGCUGGGGACUCUAAGGAAACUGCCUACGCAACGUAGUGAGGAAGGUGGGGAUGACGUCAAAUCAGCACGGCCCUUAUGUCCAGGGCUACACACGUGCUACGAUGGCCGGUACAGAGGGCAGCUGCCUGGUGACAGGUGGCUAAUCUCGAAAGCCGGUCUCAGUUCGGAUCGGAGUCUGCAACUCGACUUCGUGAAGUUGGAAUCGCUAGUAAUCGCGCAUCAGCAACGACGCGGUGAAUACGUUCCCGGGCAUUGUACACACCGCCCGUCAAGCCAUGGAAGCUUGGGGUA